RNAcentral lists this ribosomal RNA (500 nucleotides) under Streptomyces sp. CS-2. Its description in RNAcentral is "partial 16S ribosomal RNA". It matches the Rfam family "Bacterial small subunit ribosomal RNA", at positions 88 to 607 of the family's 1533-position model. Lineage: Bacteria; Bacillati; Actinomycetota; Actinomycetes; Kitasatosporales; Streptomycetaceae. The record is from RNAcentral.
UGGAUUAGUGGCGAACGGGUGAGUAACACGUGGGCAAUCUGCCCUUCACUCUGGGACAAGCCCUGGAAACGGGGUCUAAUACCGGAUACGACUGCGGGAGGCAUCUCCUGUGGUGGAAAGCUCCGGCGGUGAAGGAUGAGCCCGCGGCCUAUCAGCUUGUUGGUGGGGUAAUGGCCUACCAAGGCGACGACGGGUAGCCGGCCUGAGAGGGCGACCGGCCACACUGGGACUGAGACACGGCCCAGACUCCUACGGGAGGCAGCAGUGGGGAAUAUUGCACAAUGGGCGAAAGCCUGAUGCAGCGACGCCGCGUGAGGGAUGACGGCCUUCGGGUUGUAAACCUCUUUCAGCAGGGAAAAAGCGAGAGUGACGGUACCUGCAAAAAAACGCCCGGUNANUACGUGCCAGCAGCCCCGNUAAUACNUANGGCCCANGCUUUUNCCGAAUUAUUGGGCGUAAAAACCNUUANGCGCNUNUCCCCUCGNAUNGAAAACCCNAGG